CACCCUACUGUGGAGAAGGGUGCUGUUGUGGUGGUGGUGGUGAAAGGCUGUAUUUCCUGAGAGGAGAGAGUUGGAGGCUGAAGACUGGCAAACCCAGAGGGGGGAAAGUGAGACAUGUAGGAAGAAGCCCAGGGAAACAGCAGCAGCAGGAGGUAGGAUGGUACAAGGACUGUGGCUGCUUGUUUUAGGCUCCCUGGGCUGGAACCCAGUGUCGAGGGUGGGUGUGGAUUCCCAUACUAGCCACUGGGAAGUGACAAAGAUGUUGGAGGUGCUGGCUAGACAGCAUGUCUAGAAAGACUGAAUUCCCUGGAAGGGGAGGACUUUAGUAACCUGGCCAGAAGACCAAGUCAUACAGAGGAAGCUGCAGACCCAGGAGUAACCAAGACAGAAGCAUGCAGUAAGACAGGAGACUACUGCACUGGAGGGAGAGUGCAAGCUGGUCCCCCAGAUGGCCAGAAAGAGGUUUCUGUGACAGGAACACAUGAAAUCCUGCCAAGGGGGAAUUAUGGAAUCCUGGUAUUGGGGGUCACUAGGGGCACAGAAUUCCUGGGAGAGGAGACUGUGAAAGUCUCUGGUCUGGGGCUAUUGUGUCAGACAACAUGCUUGCUGCAUGGAAGUCCCACUGGAAUGAAAGAGACACUUGUCUUCAGCAGAGGCUGAGCAAAGAACAAGAGACCAGCAUUCCCAGGCUGCAGAGCUGCUCAAUGUCCUAUCCUGAUCCUGUCCCUCUGUACAGCCCAGCAGCCCACUGACACCUUGCAGAUCACUGAGACCACUUGGAUGCUACGGUCCUUGAAACAGAGUAACCCAGUGUGUAGACACAACAUGUCUUCCAGGCUCCCAGGUUUUCUAAUGAAUUAAUGAAGUAUUUUCUGCUUUUACCUUGUAGCGGGUUUUGCUGGAGGGAGGAAAAGCUUGAACUGGCUCAUUUCUCAUACUGCUUCUUGCUUUUUUCUUGGAUUUGUUUGUUGGAUAUUUCAUUGGCGGAGAGGGGUGGGUUUCUUGUUCAUUGUCUGGCAGAUGAUGGCACCAAAACUUGAAAGCUCUGAAUGCUUCAGGGAACUGAACUCAGGUCUGCCAUGUCCUAAGCCAGUGCCUUCCUCUUCAGCUGCAAUUCAUGAUGCUGAUGGAAAGGAGAACGAUGUGUGCACUUUAUGUGGUUACUUAACAAUGUUGUUCACUUUCCUACCAGCACAAGUAAAAACAUCUCACAGGUCCGUGAAACAAGCACCUGAAUCAUCUGGCUCUUUUAAAUAUAUAGAAAAGUUAGCUUUUGGCUUUCACUUUUGGUUCAGGUGGGGGAUAGUUAGCCCAUCCAACCCUAGGCCUGCGUCCCUCAGGAAGACAUGAAUCCUGGGUGUGCUUCACCUGCUCUGAUAAGGUUGGAGAUGUCCUCCUGGGUGCAUUUGGCCCAGGCAGUUAGGUUGCCUAUCAGUGAGACAUGGCACUAUGACUGAGGCAACCAACAGAAUGACAAAACCAAACUCUCCCACCAACAUACAGAAAGAUUAGACCUGUAUUGAUAAUAUUUCAAUAACAAAGGAAUUUGUCCAAAAAUAUGAUUCAUGGCAUGUUACAUUUGGAAAUAUGUAGCUAGAAUUUCAGAGUAUUAACUUAGUACUAAUCACUUGCUGAAUUUUUUUGCAUAGUUUUUGCUUUUAGUACUGUAUCUAUUAAUUAUUGAAAACUACUGAACCUGAUGUAACUUACGCUUUUUUUUUUUGUAAAUCAACUUUGCGUUGUC
Molecule: long non-coding RNA, 1744 nt
Organism: Chelonia mydas (Green sea turtle)
Lineage: Eukaryota; Metazoa; Chordata; Testudines; Cheloniidae
Exons: 2
Source: RefSeq, a predicted model, not a curated record